RNAcentral lists this ribosomal RNA (253 nucleotides) under uncultured bacterium. RNAcentral's name for it is "partial 16S ribosomal RNA". It matches the Rfam family "Bacterial small subunit ribosomal RNA", at positions 524 to 776 of the family's 1533-position model. The record is from RNAcentral.
UACGAAGGGGGCUAGCGUUGUUCGGAAUUACUGGGCGUAAAGCGCGCGCAGGCGGUUUUUCAAGUCAGUGGUGAAAGCCCGGAGCUCAACUCCGGAACUGCCAUUGAAACUGUAAAACUUGAGGACGAGAGAGGUGAGUGGAAUUCCCAGUGUAGAGGUGAAAUUCGUAGAUAUGCGGAGGAACACCGAUGGCGAAGGCAAUCCCCUGGACCUGUACUGACGCUCAUGCACGAAAGCGUGGGGAGCAAACAGG